RNAcentral lists this ribosomal RNA (253 nucleotides) under uncultured bacterium. RNAcentral describes it as "partial 16S ribosomal RNA". It matches the Rfam family "Bacterial small subunit ribosomal RNA", at positions 524 to 776 of the family's 1533-position model. The record is from RNAcentral.
UACGAGGGGGGCAAAUGUUGUUCGGAAUCACUGGGCGUAAAGGGCGCGUAGGCGGCCCGCUAAGUCGAACGUGAAAUCCCCGAGCUCAACUCGGGAACUGCGUCCGAUACUGGCGGGCUUGAAUCCGGGAGAGGGAUGCGGAAUUCCAGGUGUAGCGGUGAAAUGCGUAGAUAUCUGGAGGAACACCGGUGGCGAAGGCGGCAUCCUGGACCGGCAUUGACGCUGAGGCGCGAAAGCUAGGGGAGCAAACGGG